This 2511-nucleotide ribosomal RNA is filed under the name Triticum aestivum (bread wheat). Its description in RNAcentral is "partial small subunit ribosomal RNA". Lineage: Eukaryota; Viridiplantae; Streptophyta; Magnoliopsida; Poales; Poaceae. The record is from RNAcentral.
CUCACACUACACUUCUCCAUGCCUCCUUUCCUCUACAUAUUACUCGGGCUUCUCUUACUCUCGCACACAGCUCCUCGGUGCUCUUCCGCAAGGGACACUCUCAUGGCAGGCCAAGUGCUUGCUGCCGUCGGUGGCAGCAAGCUCGUCUCAGGAAACGGCAAGUUCGCGCUGGGCUUCUUCCAGCCAGCUAACACUGCAUGCACCAUCAACGGUAGUAAGUUCCACCACAACACCAGCUCCAGUUGGUACCUUGGCAUAUGGUUCAAUAAAAUCGCAGUUUUUACUACUGUAUGGGUAGCUAAUAGGGAGGAGCCCAUCACACAUCCCAAACUCAACUCAACACAGCUCAAGAUCUCAAGUGAUGGAAAUCUUGUCAUUGCCGUAAACCAUGCUGAUGCCGGCAAGGAAUCCGUUGUUUGGUCCACUCGCAUUGUCAAUAGGACACAAACCAACAACAAAAACAGUAGUGUCGUUGUUCUCUUCAACAGUGGAAACCUUGCCCUACUCACAAAUAGCCAAGAGAUAUUGUGGCAGAGCUUCGACUACCCAACAGAUGUUUUGCUUCCCGGCGCCAAGUUUGGUCGGAACAAGGUCACCGGCUUGAGUCGUUCAAUUAUUUCAAAGAAGAGCCUCACUGAUCCAUGUCUUGGCUCAUAUAGUGUUGAACUAGAAGGCACCAGCAGGAUCGUCCUCAAGCGCCGCAACGACCCUUCCAUAGUGUAUUGGCAAUAUGCAUCAUCUAAACAAUCAUCAUUGAUACUCAAGUCAAUGGUAUAUUUGGAUCCUCUGGCCAAACGAUUGAUUAACCCAACAUAUGUUAAUAACAACCAAGAGGAAUACUACAUGUACACUUGUUUGGAUGAUUCAUCUUCCAUAUUUGCGUCACUAGAUAUAUCUGGUCGGAUAAAGCUAAACUUUUGGUCGCAAGCCAAACAGUCUUGGGAAACCAUACAUGCCCAACCUUACGAUCCAUGCACUACUCCUGCUACAUGCGGACCUUUCACAGUCUGCAACAACAAUGCAUAUCGAUUAUGUGAUUGUAUGGAGGGAUUCUCUAAGAAGUCACCGGUGGACUGGGAGUCUAAUGAUCGAACAGGAGGAUGCAUCCGAAAUACACCACUACAUUGCAGCACUAGUGACAAAAACAUGACAAGUUCAACAGACGUGUUUCACCGCAUUGCUCAAGUUAAAUUGCCUUACAAGCCCCAAAUAAUAGUCGUUGUUAGCGGUCAAAGAAACUGUGAAGAAGCUUGCCUCAAUUCCUGCUCUUGCACUGCUUAUUCCUUUGCCAAUCAACUAUGCUCUAUCUGGGAAGGAGAAUUGCUUAGUGUAAAUCUGAAUUAUGGUACUGAUAAUAGAACUGAAGAUGUUCUUUAUGUUCGCCUUGCCACAGAGUAUUUUCUACUAAGUUUGAGAAAAAACAAAAGAAAACCAAAUGUUGUAGUUAUUGCUGCUGCAAGCAUUAUUGGUUUUGGAUUACUAAUGCUCAUAGUGUUGCUACUGAUUUGGAGGAACAGAUUCAAGCGGUUUGGUUUGCCUUUAUAUAACAACCAAGGCAGUUGUGGAGGGAUUAUGGUCUUUAGAUACACUGAUUUAGUCCAUGCUACUAGAAACUUCUCAGAAAAGCUAGGAGGAGGUGGUUUUGGUUCUGUAUACAAGGGAGUACUAAGUGACAUGACUAGUAUAGCAGUGAAAAGGCUUGAUAGUGCCUAUCAAGGAGAGAAGCAAUUCAGGGCAGAGGUGAGCUCAGUUGGGCUGAUCCAACAUAUCAACAUAGUCAAAUUGAUUGGUUUCUGCAGCGAAGGUGAUAAAAGGCUACUUGUGUAUGAACACAUGUUAAAUGGAUCUCUUGAUGGCCAUCUAUUUAAUAAGGACAAUGGUAAUGUUGUUGUCCUAAGUUGGAAAAGCAGAUAUCAAAUAACCCUUGGAGUUGCGAGAGGAUUGUCCUACUUGCAUCAUAAUUGUCAUGAAUGCAUCAUACAUUGUGAUAUUAAGCCAGAGAAUAUACUUGUAGAUGCAUCAUUUGUUCCCAAAGUUGCAGAUUUUGGGUUGGCAACAUUAGUGGGAAGGGAUUUUAGUCGAAUCCUGACCACAUUAAGAGGAACUGCAGGUUAUAUUGCCCCAGAGUGGCUUAGCGGAGUUGCUAUUACACCGAAAAUUGAUGUUUAUAGCUUUGGCGUGGUACUUUUGGAAAUCUUAUCUGGAAGUAGGAAUUCACAAGAAACAUACAAUACUAGUGAGACCUACUAUGUCAAAUAUUUUCCAAUUCAAGCCAUCAACAAGCUUCAGGGUGGUGAUGUGGGAAGUUUGGUGGACCCAAAAUUACAUGGUGACUUCAACUUGGAAGAGGCUGAACGGAUUUGUAAAGUUGCAUUUUGGUGCAUCCAAGAUAAUGAGUUUGAUCGACCAACGAUGGGUGAAGUGGUCAAGAUUCUCGAGGGUCUGCGGGAUAUUGAUAUGCCCCCGAUGCCGAGACAACUUGCUGCUAGAAGGAACACUAUGAUAUCUCGG